RNAcentral lists this long non-coding RNA (724 nucleotides) under Rattus norvegicus (Norway rat). RNAcentral's name for it is "long non-coding RNA NONRATT003725". The record is from RNAcentral. Lineage: Eukaryota; Metazoa; Chordata; Mammalia; Rodentia; Muridae.
ACACCAGAAGAGGGCAUCAGAUCCCAUUACAGAUGGUUGUGAGCCACCAUGCGGUUGCUGAAAAUUGAACUCAAGACCUCUGGAAGAACAGUCAGUGCUCUUAACCCCUGAGCUAUAUCUCCAGCCCUGCUUUUUCAGUGUUUUGAUGUCACAACAAAAGGCUUUCCAUGCCAUGUUUUACUUAAAGUUUGUAGCUCAUGUCUACGAUACCAGCACUUGGGAGGUCAUGGCAGCAGGCAGGGGGAUUGCUAUAAUCCUGAAUCCAGCCUGGGCUCCAUAGUGAGAAUCUGUCCCCAAAACAACAGAAGUUUCCGGGAGAGUCAGAAGUGGCAAGUCAGUUGUGUGUUUUGCUGGGGCAAACAUGUGACGGAAUGUUUUCCUGAAGCAGACACAGGUGAAAGGAUGUUUUGCUAAAGCGAGCACGUAAGAGGACGUGUGAUGAAAGACCCUUCACUAACAACACAAAUGCACUGGUUCACCUUACACUGCAUAGGUGAACUCCGUCUGUUAUGCUUCCACAGAGAGAAAUGCAGCAAAAAAACUGGCGGAGUUCUGGCAACUUCUUGCUACUUCUGUGGAUUUGGGUCUAUUGGCAGAGUGACGUCUGCUGAUACGGACUCAUGUGGGGUUUUGCUAUGACUGAGGCAAAACGCAUGGAGGACACGUGAUGUUUGGAGGGAGUAUAAAAAGGACUCAAAGGACAGCGACUGGGGCUUACAUAGAC